Molecule: ribosomal RNA, 250 nt
Filed under: uncultured bacterium
Lineage: Bacteria
Description: partial 16S ribosomal RNA
Rfam family: Bacterial small subunit ribosomal RNA
Source: RNAcentral
UACGGAGGAUCCAAGCGUUAUCCGGAAUCAUUGGGUUUAAAGGGUCCGUAGGCGGUCUUAUAAGUCAGUGGUGAAAUCUUCUAGCUCAACUAGGAAACUGCCAUUGAUACUGUAGGACUUGAAUGUUUGUGAAGUAACUAGAAUAUGUAGUGUAGCGGUGAAAUGCUUAGAUAUUACAUGGAAUACCAAUUGCGAAGGCAGGUUACUAACAGAUGAUUGACGCUGAUGGACGAAAGCGUGGGGAGCGAAC